This 253-nucleotide ribosomal RNA is filed under the name uncultured bacterium. Its description in RNAcentral is "partial 16S ribosomal RNA". It matches the Rfam family "Bacterial small subunit ribosomal RNA", at positions 524 to 776 of the family's 1533-position model. The record is from RNAcentral.
GACAGAGGUCCCGAGCGUUAGGCGGAAUCACUGGGCUUAAAGCGUGUGUAGGCGGAUUUGUAAGUACCUUGUGAAAUCCCACAGCUUAACUGUGGAACUGCUUGGUAUACUGCUUAUCUUGGGCCAUUUAGGGGCGAGCGGAACAAACGGUGGAGCGGUGAAAUGCGUAGAUAUCGUUUGGAACGCCAAUGGUGAAAACAGCUCGCUGGGAAUGUGCCGACGCUGAGACACGAAAGCCAGGGGAGCGAACGGG